UCAGCUGUGGACGUCGCUCAGCCUCGCUGUUCAGCUGUGGACGUCGCUCAGCCUCGCUGUUCAGCUGUGGACGUCGCUCAGCCUCGCUGUUCAGCUGUGGACGUCGCUCAGCCUUCCUGCUCCAUGGCAGAUAGCGUUCCCCUCUUCUGCUUCGAGGAGACCCACGCUCCUCUCCCUGGCCGCACGGAGACCCACGCUCCUCUCCAUGGCCUUACAGGGGACUUCGCUCUGCCUUCAUGCUCCGAUGAGGGCGUCGCCCUGCUUCCCUGCUCCGCCGAGUACAGUGCUCUGUUUCCAUGCCCAGCUGAGGUCGUCGCUCUGCCCCCCUGUCCAGCUGAGGUCGUCGCUCUGCCCCCCUGUCCAGCUGAGGUCGUCGCUCUGCCCCCCUGUCCAGCUGAGGUCGUCGCUCUGCCCCCCUGUCCAGCUGAGGUCGUCGCUCUGCUUCCCUACGCCGCCAAGAACACCGUGCAGUUUCCUGGCUCUGCUCGGGACAUUCAGACCAGGGGGCCGGGGCCGCCAAUGAAAUGGGAUGACUCAUGGCAUUCCGGGAGGAGUGCCCUUGGGGGGCGGGGGGUUCUGUCACGAUUCCCCCUUGAAGCAGUGUGCUCUAAGCGCAAAUGCGUGAUCACCUGCUUUUCCGCUGUUGACUGUAGUGACAUUGGGACACGUGUGUUUUGUUUAUGUUUGUCAUGUCUCCUCCCUGUUCCGUCAUUGGCUGGGAAUUCACGUGGGUCUGUAUUGCUCCCAGCUGAUAGCAAUUAACACGCUAAUCAGGUCCGCAUAUAUAUCGCGCGCUUCCCAGCACACAACGCGGAAGAUUAAGUAAUAAGUCGUAAGUAGUAAGUAAGAAAUCGUAAAUAGUAAGUAAGUGUUUAGCGUUAGUUUAGUUCGCGCCAUAGCCAUAGCCAUAGCCAUAAGCAAGUUCGCGCUGGAUUAUCCGCUUCCAGUCCCUCGCCUUAGUUCGUGUCUUGUUUUGUUUACCGACCUAGAUUCCUGCCUUGCCCCGUGUAUGCCUGUUUGCCAAUCGCCUGACCUCUUGCAUGUUUAUGGAUUACGUUUUGGAUCACGUUUAGGAUUUGUCUGCCUGCCUGUCUCUUUAAAUAAACAACUGUUAUCCUGCACUUGCAUCCGCCUUAUCUCUGCUUCGUCACGAUGUGUGACACACAACUAAUGUAUAUGAAAGUAUAGGUCUUCUCAUUCUAAUCAUAUUUGCAUAAAGAACCAUUGGUGUCUGUCAAACUGUAAGGUAAAUAUUUCAGAUAAUGUUAAAAACUUACUUUUCCGAACUAGUCAUGGUUUUUUUGCUCAAGUGAAAUAAAACUAUUGCAGGACAAUACUUUGGACAUCUUAGAUCAAAAAAAAGGUUGAAUUUUUGAUUUACCCUUGCAAGGGCACAUCAAAAAGUUUGAAGUGGGUGUGGCCGCUUUAACUUAAAUUCUCCUGAAAGGAAUGAGAUAUUUUCACUAAACUUGGGGUACAUAUGUACAGGCUCAAUUUGAGGACAGAUGUAAAAAACAUGACUUGGUGUGACCAUUUGGUGGCACUAUGGCAGAACAAAAUAUGAAACUGGCAGUAAAAGUGGAACCAUUGGUCCUAUAGACUUGAUAAAUCUUACAAGAAUUGUACUCUUCCAAGGUCCAAUCAGCGUAUUCGAGGACAAUUGUGAAACUUGAAAAACAGGGCCACUAUUGGUCGAGCAAUGUUCAGCAGCUAUUGGACAAGCUUAAUGAAGGCCAAUAUUUCUUAAAAUUAUAUUUCUUAUAAUUAUUCUUAAAAUAGAAAUCUUGCCUAGGGCGCCAAAAUGGCCAGAAAUGGCCCUGCUUUUAGGCAUCGAUCAAAUCAAAUCGAUAUCAAGUAAAGCUGCAUGUUGCUACGCUAAUUUCAGCCUGAAUCUUUUUAGCUUAGUCAUGUAAGCUAUGCCUUGUUCAUCAAGUUGUGAUGUCAUUUGCACAUCAUUUUCUCUUAUCUGAUCAUAUUUUAUGUUAUCAUAUUUAAUCUUCUCUACAAUAUGAAUUUGUUUUUAUUACUGCAUCUUUUCUUAGUGUAUUAUUCCCUUCAUAUGCUCUAUGUUUCUGUCAUUGUAAUUAUAUAUAUUUUAUUUUAUUACAUUUAUAUUAUUUUCCUUUUGUUUAUGAUAUAGAAAUUAUUUUGGAAAUAAAACGACAGGACUAGCAUCUGAAACCUUAAUUACCUUUAUUUUUCCAGGGAACCAGAUGUUUUCUGCACUGAAUGGGCUUUAUGAACUGUUCAAUGUCUUGCUCUCUCACAUACUCCUACUACUCUUUGCUGUACUUCUUAAACCAUAUGGCCUAGCGACUCUAGAGGGAUACUAGGAAAUGUAGAGAGGAUGCCCUCUCUGAUCAGACCAUUAGGUUCCAACAUGCUAUAGACAUGGAAAAGAGUGGUGGAGUGAGAUCACUGACAAGCCAAGCAUAUUAUACUCUGGCAGAGGAAAGUAGUCUAGUAGCCUUGUAUGAUCAACAAGUUGGACAAAUCCUUCAUCAUAUUUCUCCAGGAAAACACAUACGUUCUUUAACACUAACUUCAUGUGCUGCAAGAGUGUUGCUUAGCUGAAAGCUAAGAGGUGCAGCUGAUUCUUGUAUCUUAUCACUGUAGUACUGUACAAAAAAUCUGUGCCUCUUUCAAUGGCAACAUAUGUUGGGAGGAUAUAACAGCACUAAGGUAAGCUGGUAGAAGCUGAUGCCUUGCCUUUCAGCAAGAGUGGAGCAGAGGUUCUUGAAGUUGUGCAGUUUGUGAGCAGAGUGUUUGAAAUAUGUAUGCUUAGUCUCAAACUGUAGAGGCCAUUUAUAACGUCCAAAGUGAAUGGUUAGGUCUGUGUAACAAGACAAAUAAUUGUGUUUUGGUUUAAGUGGCGAAUCUGGAAAAGUUUCCUUUCUGCUUAGUCAGUACUCCUCUAUCAAAACUUUCAAGUAUGCUACUUGACCAGUGGCAAUCUUUAGAGCACAAAUCAUCUCGACUAUUUGUCUGAGUUGCAGGGCCAGUUGCCAGACAUAAGUGUCCACUGGGUUAUGAAUCUUGUCCCCAAUCAAGACUCUCAGUAGACACAAUUCUGCACAGCAUGCCUACUUAGUUUCUCACUUCCAGGAUUUACAUCACUUGGUUUGUUGUUAGCAUUGUAGCCAAGCUGAUUUAUAUGACUGUUACACGACUAGAUCUACAUAACUGACCUUCUUUUGCUUUGUAAUAAGAUGGCUGAUAUACAGGAACAGAUCACACAUGACAACACCUUCAAACAAUUCAUGGCCUAAACAAGGAGGCAGUCCAGUUUGGCAUACAUGGAAGUAAGAAAAAAGAAAAAUCUUUGAUUUUGAAUCAAAUUUGAUGCCUGCAGAUGACCGUUUCUCAUUCACCUAUUCACACACGAAUGAUGGCAGAGCUGCCAUGCAAGGUGCUAGCUUGCCAUUGGUAGCAACUUGGGGCCCAGCCCCCCUCCGUACCGAUUACAUUGGACUAUUCCAUAAUUUUACUGCGCAUCUGCGAAAGUAACUCCGGAUGAAAGUAUAGCCAACUCGUGCAAAUGUUGACGUUGCAGGUAGUGUACAGACAGAGCAAAAAUUAAGCGCAGCUACCACAGCGGUGCUGAAAAAGGAGAAAGCGGGAGGAAAGCAAAAAAUUUUUUAGCAAAGUCUGUGAAGUGUUUAAAUGAACACAUUUUGCCUUUGGCAUGAAGGCAAGUUGUAGUUCUGUAAGCGCUGACGGCUCUAGCAUUACAGCCAAAGAAAAGUGAGGCUGGGACAGGCAGCAGAGUUUAUCCUCUCUCUCUCUCUCUUCCAUAUUCCCUCCUAAAGCUCUCCUGACCUGCUCCCAAAUGAAGCAGUCGGUGAGUUUAAUGUCACAUGAUAACAGUGGGACAUUCAGAUGUGGAUUCAUGUUCAGUGCUACUUCAAAUAAAUGUUUACAUAUUACCACAAUUUAGAAAAAAUUUAUUGUAUUGUUUGCUCUUGGUUGGUGGUAGUAUUGAAAUUAUUAUUAAUUAAUACUUAUUUAAUAUAGGACUAAUAUCAAGAUUAAUUCCAUAAUGUUCAUAUUAGAAAAUUAAACUUCUUAAUAUUAAUAAACUAGUAGUCAAUAGUAGCGGCCUAUAUUUGGGUGGUAAAAUUAUUAGAUGUGGAUUCAUGUUAAUGCUAAAAAAAUAAAGUUUCAGCACCAAUUUUGUAUUACUGUAAUUACGAAUUUCAGCGGAAAAUUCAAAAAGGAAAACCUGUUGACAUCUUUGUCGAAUUUGUAGUUAUAAGUUGAAAAAUUGGAAGGCACUGAAAGCUACCACAGUAGUAGUAGUAGUAUUUGUCUACACUCCUGGGCAAAAAAAAUGGGCCAAACCCAAAAUGGCAAAAAUAUUAAGCUUUUAAUGGUCUUAACAACAAAUCAGAGGUUUACAAAAUAUACCUUUCGCAACCUUAAGGUGCAAAUGUGAAUUGGAGAGAGGACUCAAGCCUUGUUCAGCAAAAAAACUUUGGACUCUGAUAUUAAUGAAGAUGACCUUUUUAUAAAAAAAAAAAAAAAAAAAUUAUA
Long non-coding RNA from Ictalurus punctatus (channel catfish), 4533 nucleotides. The record is from Ensembl. Lineage: Eukaryota; Metazoa; Chordata; Actinopteri; Siluriformes; Ictaluridae.